CUGAGGAGGUAGUCAAGUAUUUUUAUUGGUGCGUGAAAAUGCCAUGCAUACUUUCAGAUGUAGGAGCAUGGCGUCGUCGUUGAGGAACUGGUUGACGCCUGCUUUUCGCAUCAGAUCAAGUGGAAGAGAUCGUAUGAAGAUUCAAACAGAUCCUUAGCAUCUGUGCGGAGAUAGGUUUGGAACUGCGAUAAGCAAUAUGAUUCUAGGCCAAGGUAGGCUUCUGCAACCGUGUUGAAAUCUCGUAGGAAUGCAAGAAAAUCCUGUCCAAGGGUGUAUAAGCCAAAAAAUAACGCUGGGAGCCGACCCAUGUUGUUACUUGUGUGUGAUA
Molecule: non-coding RNA, 328 nt
Organism: Physcomitrium patens
Lineage: Eukaryota; Viridiplantae; Streptophyta; Bryopsida; Funariales; Funariaceae
Source: RefSeq, a predicted model, not a curated record